AGUCUAACAUGUGCGCGAGUCAUGGGGCUCGUACGAAACCCAAAGGCGCAAUGAAAGUAAAGGUCUCCUCCGGAGCACCCAGGCAAGAUCCGGCGCCCUCGCGGCGUCGGCGCAUUGCCGGCCCGUCUCGGCGGCAUCGUCCGCGAGGCGGAGCAAGAGCGCACACGUUGGGACCCGAAAGAUGGUGAACUAUGUCUGAGUAGGGCGAAGUCAGAGGAAACUCUGAUGGAGGCCCGCAGCGAUUCUGACGUGCAAAUCGAUCGUCAAACUUGGAUAUAGGGGCGAAAGACUAAUCGAACCAUCUAGUAGCUGGUUCCCUC
This 320-nucleotide ribosomal RNA is filed under the name Hyphantosoma caperi. RNAcentral describes it as "eukaryotic LSU rRNA". It matches the Rfam family "Eukaryotic large subunit ribosomal RNA", at positions 672 to 961 of the family's 3401-position model. Lineage: Eukaryota; Metazoa; Mollusca; Bivalvia; Venerida; Veneridae. The record is from RNAcentral.